Molecule: ribosomal RNA, 1734 nt
Filed under: Triticum aestivum (bread wheat)
Lineage: Eukaryota; Viridiplantae; Streptophyta; Magnoliopsida; Poales; Poaceae
Description: partial small subunit ribosomal RNA
Source: RNAcentral
AUGGCCAGCCGGUUCUCCAACGUCGACCCGGUGACGGCGGCCGACAUGCGGCGCCAAGGCCUGGACCCGCACGAGCUGGACCGGAGGACGGAGCAGCUCAUGUCGCUCAUCCACGGCAACCUCCCGGACCCGCCCGUCUCCACCACCGCCCGCCUCACCGCCUUCCGCGCGCGCCCCUCCGACGGCGUGGACCGCAUCAGCCGCCUCUCCGACGCGCUCCUCCGCGACAUCGUCUCCCGCCUCCCCAUCAAGGACGCCGCCCGCACCGCCGCGCUCGCCGCGCGCUGGCGCGGGGUCUGGCGCUCGACGCCGCUGGUCCUCGUCGACACCCACCUGGUCUCGUCAGCGCGCGCCAGCACGCCGGACGUCAUCGCGGCCGUCUCCCGCGUCCUCGCCGCGCACCAUGGUCCCUUCCGCUCCGUCCACCUCACCUGCAGCUGCAUGGGCGCGUACCAGGCCCAGCUCAAGCGCUGGCUCCGUCUCCUCGCCGCCAGGGGCGUCCAGGAGCUCGUCCUCGUCAACCGCCCGUGGCUGCGCGAGGUGCCCCUCCCCAAGACGCUCUUCACCAUCUCCACCCUCACCCGCCUCUACAUCGGCGUCUGGAAGUUCCCGGACGCGGCCGGCCUCCAAGGCGCCUCCUUCCCCCACCUCCGGGAGCUCGGCAUCUGCAGCGUCGCCAUGAAGGACGGGGACAUCGACGCCGUCGUCUCAAGGAGCCCCGCCCUGGAGAUCCUCAACAUCCAAGGGAGCAUGAAGGGGGUGCAUCUCCGCCUCGUCAGCCACAGCCUCCGUUGCGUGCAGAUCUGCUCUUUCGUCAUAGAGAGCGUCAACGUGGUGAACGCCCCGCGUCUCGAGCGUCUCAUCCUGUCAGAGUGUCUCAAUCCUGCCGGCGGAUCGUGCAUCAGAGUAAAGAUUGGCAACGUCCCCAAGCUGAAAGUAUUCGGGUUCCUGGAGCCAGGAAAAUACGUGCUAGAGAUCCAAGACACUGUCAUCAUGGCUGGGAUUAAGACAAGUGCAAGCAUGAUGGUCACAAGCGUGAAUGUCCUUAGUAUGAAGGUGUGCUUCGGAGUCUACGACGAUGUCAAGAUGGUGCCCGCCUUCCUCAAAUGCUUCCCCAAUGUCGAGGCGCUGCAUAUUACGUCUGAAAAAUGCGAUCAACUCGCUGGCAAGUUCGACCUCAAGUUCUGGGAAGAGGUUGGUCUCAUCGUAAGUGUGCUCUUGCGGCUCAAGGUGAUCACGUUUCGUGAAUAUCGUGCCAGGCAAGAUGAGCUUGCCUUCCUCCAGUACAUCUUGCAGCAUGCAAUGGUGCUCAAGUAUGCAGUGGUUCAGAUGGUCAAUCCAAAAUUCACUUCACUGUCAGUAGAUGAGAUGGCCUACACCAUAGACAAUAUGCAAAAAAAAAAAAAAAAGGGCAACCUGGUGCAUGUAGCUCCCGCUUGCGCAGGGUCCAGGGAAGGGUCCGACCACUUUGGGUCUAUAGUACGCAGCCUUUCCCUACAUUUCUGUAAGAGGCUGUUUCCAGGACUUGAACCCAUGACCUCAUGGUCACAAGGCAGCAGCUUUACCAUAGACAAUAUGCAGCCUCCUAAAAAUAAAAAGUGGGCCAGCACAGUUGGUUUAUUAACCAUGGGGACUCAUGGUCCUGAAGGAGGUGAAACUUGGACUUUUCGGAAAGGAGCAGACCUCUCCGACGACGACCCUAUUGCACCAGUUAAAUUCAUCAUAAGGGGUUAG